UAUAGCCAUACCACCACUCUGAAUGUGCCCAGUCUCGUCUGAUCUCGGAAGCAGAGCUGGGCCUGGUUAGUACUUGGAUGGAAGACCAAUAGAGACUAUAAUAGCCACAC
RNAcentral lists this ribosomal RNA (110 nucleotides) under Sus scrofa (pig). The record is from RNAcentral. Lineage: Eukaryota; Metazoa; Chordata; Mammalia; Artiodactyla; Suidae.